AAGGAGUUAGUUAAAUAAAACAUAACAUUAGAGUGUCAAUCUAAAAUUACUAAUUGAUUAGUACACCUUG
This 70-nucleotide transfer RNA is filed under the name Filchnerella kukunoris. Its description in RNAcentral is "tRNA-Asp". The record is from RNAcentral. Lineage: Eukaryota; Metazoa; Arthropoda; Insecta; Orthoptera; Pamphagidae.